UGUUAUUCCACUAUCUUAGGUUUCCUCAAAGGACAGAUCAAAACAUUUCUUCGGGUCAUCUGUAUGACAAUAUCGUAACACAUUUAAAUCCAAUCCUGAUGCAGCCAGUCAACCUUCAGGCUGGCCAUGCUGGACCUUCAAGCCAUAGGCCUCCAGCUCCGUCUAGCAAUCAACGAGCAGGGAAUGAUCUUCCGCCACCCUAUUAUUAUGAGGUAAUGGAGUUUGACCCUUUGGCUCCAGGUGCCGCUACCGAAGCUCUUUAUGAAGACAUUGAUGCUAAAUGCUAUAAACCAAUUCAGAAUCACACAAACUGUUGAAAGAUCUUUUUAGAGAAAUCCAUCAUCAUCAUACCCCUGUGAUACAGUAGAUGAAAACUAUUUUAUUACUUCUUGAAUAAAUCAUAAAACAUUUGAUAAGCUGGAACUGUAAUUCAGGAAAAAUAUUGUUUAAGUGCCUUCACUUAAUUAAAAUUGAAUGUAAAAAUAAUUUUGCACUUCUGAAAAUAUUUCUGGCUUUUACAUUUUGAGCUAGGGCAUAAAAGCAUUUAAUUAUUGUAGUUUACAUUUCAUGUUUGUAACAGUCAUUAGAAAAUAUAUAAAGUUGACUUUUUAAAUGAUUUAUAACCUUAAAAUAAAAUAUAUUCUUUUCUUUUUACUGUAAGAUGUAUCCUUUGUAGAACAAAAAUUUUGUUCAUAGUA
Vombatus ursinus (common wombat) is the source of this 698-nucleotide long non-coding RNA. RefSeq lists it as uncharacterized. Lineage: Eukaryota; Metazoa; Chordata; Mammalia; Diprotodontia; Vombatidae. The transcript has 5 exons. The record is from RefSeq and is a predicted model, not a curated record.